Molecule: RNA transcript, 2681 nt
Organism: Panicum virgatum (switchgrass)
Lineage: Eukaryota; Viridiplantae; Streptophyta; Magnoliopsida; Poales; Poaceae
Exons: 15
Source: RefSeq, a predicted model, not a curated record
GCUAAACCCCCACUUUGGCUGCCUUCCCCCACCGCUCCGGCCAUGGAAUCCUUCGCCGGCGCCGCCCCCGCGGCCGGCGUAUUCGCGGGCUCCGGAGCCGCCGCGGCGCGCCCCUUCUUCCUCCGCCGCCGCGUAGGCUCCUCUUGCUCCAGCCCCGGACGGCUGCGCCUCCUCCGGGUGCCGCCGCCGCGCGUAGGCGGGGACGGAGGGGACCUGCCGCCGCUGGACAAGUGGGACAUGAUGGAGAUGGAUUUCGGACGCUUCCUCGGAGAGGACCCCAAGCUCACCCUCGCAAAGAUUCUGGUUAAGAAAUCAGACCCAGAUGCCUCAUCCCUCGAUGUAGAGAAACUGAUUGCCACUAAAAAGGACAAGCUGGAUGAUAUUUUGAGGGAGUUCAUGGAUGCCAAUAAGAAGGAUCAGGCUUUCAAAACACCAGAAAGUGUAUCCCCGAUGAAUACGAGACAACCGACAAUAAGCAAGCCAGUUGAAGGAAAGAGUUCUUUGAAUAUUUCAAGGCCUGUGAUGGGGAAACCGAAACAAGACGGGCCUCCGUUGACUUUACUGCGACCAGCAGGAAGCAAACCGAAGCAAGACGAGCCUUCUCUGUCUCAGUUGCGACCAGUAGGGAGCAAAGCAAAGGAAGAUAUUCCACCGCUGACCUUGUCACGGCCAAUUGGGAGCAAGCCAAUAGUACGGGGCACUCCGGUACAAGAUAGUUGGCCUAGCAAAGAGAGUUUAGCUGCUGCAACAAAUAACAGUGAAGUGGGGAGCAUCUCAAGAACAGCUGAUGUGGAUGUCACCUUGCGGAAACCCACCGUGCAUCACAGUGAGGAUGAUGAUUUGAAGUCAAAGCUGAAAAUGAAGCCAAACAUUAACCUGAAAAUGAGGAAAGAUAUGAAUGAGGACUUAACAAACAUUUCUCUUCUUCAAAAACCAGAUGUUACAAAAGAUAUUGCUAAUCCAGACCAGGACCAUGCCUCAGCUAGCUCUGCCACUAUUUCUGCUGCAGAGGAUAGCCGCGAAUUUGAGCUCGAAACUAAUGGUCCUGGCACAAAAUUAGUUACUGAAAACAUUCAUGAAUCAUCUGGGCUUGAUGACGAUUCUAGUGCAGGACUACAGCCAUCCAGUCAAACUGUCAUUCAAGAAACUAAUAAUUCUGCUGGUUCAGUGGAUAACCAAUCGGCUACUAGCAACAAUUUCUCUAUGCAGGCUUUCUUACAGGGAAAACCUAAAAGAGAAAAUCUAUCUGUAUUGCCAUCUCCAGUUGAUGAAAAGAUGAAUGCUACUGAUAAUAGGAAUUAUGUUGAUGAUGGGGGAAAUGUCUUACCAUCAAAACUUGAGGACAUUACCGAGAGUGAUUGGACUAGGUUAGAGCAUUAUGCUAGUACUGGGGAAAAAGUUGAGGUGGAGCUGAUAAAUUGCAGUCCAAAGGGAUUUGUUGUGUCACUUGACUCACUGAUAGGUUUCUUGCCAUACCGGAAUCUUGCUGCAAAAUGGAAAUUCUUAGCUUUUGAGACUUGGUUAAGAAGGAAGGGUGGUGAUCCUUCCUUGUACAAGCAGAGUCUGGGAUUAGAGGAUGGUUAUGAGGUUCAUGACAGUAGCAUAGAACCAGAAUCUAUCUCAGUCUCAGAAGUAGCUGGUGAGGAUCAAGAAUCUCUUCCAUCUAAGCCGAAGAUCGAGGAUCUUCUUCGGGCAUACAACCAAGAGAAAUCCAAAUUUUUAUCUUCAUUUAUUGGUCAAAGACUCCGAGUGUCAGUUGUCCUUGCUGACAGAAAUUCAAAGAAGAUAUUUUUCUCUAUGAAGCCAAAAGAGAGUGAAGAAUUGAUUCAGAAGAAGAAAAGUCUGAUGGCUAAGCUUAAUGUUGGAGAUAUUGUUCAAUGCACUAUCAAGCGAUUUGUUUACUUUGGGAUAUUUGUCGAGGUUGAAGGGGUUCCUGCAUUGAUUCAGCAAUGGGAAGUAUCUUGGGAUGAUACCUUAGAUCCAGCAGUUUCUUACAAAAUUGGUCAGGUUGUGGAUGCUAAAGUUAUUCAACUGGACUAUAAUAAUAACCGCAUCUUUUUGUCACUUAAAGAUGUAAAGCCAAAUCCAUCGGUAGGUGCUUUGGAAGCAGUCAUUGGUGAGGACUUAUCACUAGGUGGAACUCUUGAACCUGUACAGGCAGAUUUUGAGUGCCUUGUUCUGCGAAGUUGACUCACCCUCUGAUGUACGAUUUGAAUAUUUCUAGCGGCCUGAGGUGGAUGCCCUUAUGGAGGAGAUGCGAAAAAUAGAGGAUGUAAGAGAUGUUUAUAAAGGAAGAUUCUUCCAAAGCCCAGGGUUAGCUCCAACCUUUCAGGUUUACAUGGCGCCUGUGGUUGGUCUCAAAUACAAGCUGCUCGCACGGUAUGGGAACAAUGUGCAAGAGGUGAUGGUGGAGACGACACUGGACAAAGAGCGGUUGAAGGAGGCUAUUUUGACGUGCACAAAUAGGGUUAGCUGAUUAGCUAGGAUCUCGGUGCUGCACAUUGGACGGGACCCUCCCGGUGACAAUUUUGAGUCAUUUUGAUUUGUUUUCCUUUCUCUUCCUUUUUCUCCCCCCUGCUCUUUCUGGGGCGGAGGACUGGCAAAUUAAGGCCUGUCUGUACAGAAAUACUGUACUGUGGCUGUUGAGAAUGCGUUUCAGUCUUCUAGGCUACAUUAACUCU